This is a long non-coding RNA of Pyrus x bretschneideri (Chinese white pear), 750 nucleotides long. RefSeq lists it as uncharacterized. The record is from RefSeq and is a predicted model, not a curated record. NCBI's taxonomy places the organism in Eukaryota, Viridiplantae, Streptophyta, Magnoliopsida, Rosales, Rosaceae. The transcript is spliced from 2 exons.
GGAAUGAUGUCAAAAAGUGCAUUAAAGUUGACAGUGAUGACGCAUGGCAAACUUAUGUGCAUAAAAAUAAAGAAGCCAAUGGAUAGAGAAGCAAAACUUUUCCAUUGUAUGAUAGAUUUGCAUAUAUAUUUGGAAAAUAUCGGGCUAUGGGUAAUGUAGCCAAAACCCCUGCUGAAAUGAUGGAGGAACAAAGUCAUGAUCAGGUUGGUGCAAGUGAUAUUGAAGGUGAAAAUGUUGUUUCUUCAAUGAACCAACAAAGCAUCCCAUCUGGAAUAGCCAAAGGAAGAGGAAAAGAACUAUGGGAAGUUCAAGUGAUGGAACCAAGGCAAUUAUCAGUGGACUAAAAGAAUUUUAUGUUGAAAGUGGGAAGAUGAUGCAAAUGGCAACUGAAGCUAUAGUUCAAGGUACUGCAGAUCAUAGUGACAUAGCUAACGAACGUGGAGCAAUGGGUAUUUCUCCUAUGGAUUAAAUUGAUGCAUUGACUCUUAUUUUGGAAAAACCACAAAAUGUGGGAGUGUUCAAGGCAAUCAAUUCGGAACUCAAGAAAGUGUUCGUCCAAAGGCUUUUAAGCGACAAAGCAAGCGGAUGAGUAUAUUAUGUGGUGCCUUUUGACAUGGAUGUAUUUUAUUAAUCGUACAAUCUUAUGUUAUGGCUUCUAACUUAGCUUUGCACUAUGAAGUAUUUUGGCUAAUGUUAACUAGGAUUUUGUAAAUUAUGGAGAUCUACUUUGGAAUGCUAUACUAUAGUUAA